Molecule: ribosomal RNA, 253 nt
Filed under: uncultured bacterium
Lineage: Bacteria
Description: partial 16S ribosomal RNA
Rfam family: Bacterial small subunit ribosomal RNA
Source: RNAcentral
UACGUAGGGACCAAGCGUUGUUCGGAUUUACUGGGCGUAAAGGGCGCGUAGGCGGCGUGUCAAGUCAAUUGUGAAAUCUCCGAGCUUAACUCGGAACGGUCAAUUGAUACUGAUGUGCUAGAGUGCAGAAGGGGCAAUCGGAAUUCUCGGUGUAGCGGUGAAAUGCGUAGAUAUCAAGAGGAACACCUGAGGUGAAGACGGGUUGCUGGGCUGACACUGACGCUGAGGCGCGAAAGCUAGGGUAGCAAACGGG